GACGUACGCUGGCGGCGUGCUUAACACAUGCAAGUCGAACGGAAAGGCCCUGCUUUUGUGGGGUGCUCGAGUGGCGAACGGGUGAGUAACACGUGAGUAACCUGCCCUUGACUUUGGGAUAACUUCAGGAAACUGGGGCUAAUACUGGAUAGGAGCUCCUGCUGCAUGGUGGGGGUUGGAAAGUUUCGGCGGUUGGGGAUGGACUCGCGGCUUAUCAGCUUGUUGGUGGGGUAGUGGCUUACCAAGGCUUUGACGGGUAGCCGGCCUGAGAGGGUGACCGGCCACAUUGGGACUGAGAUACGGCCCAGACUCCUACGGGAGGCAGCAGUGGGGAAUAUUGCACAAUGGGCGGAAGCCUGAUGCAGCAACGCCGCGUGCGGGAUGACGGCCUUCGGGUUGUAAACCGCUUUCGCCUGUGACGAAGCGUGAGUGACGGUAAUGGGUAAAGAAGCACCGGCUAACUACGUG
Molecule: ribosomal RNA, 468 nt
Filed under: uncultured bacterium
Lineage: Bacteria
Description: partial 16S ribosomal RNA
Rfam family: Bacterial small subunit ribosomal RNA
Source: RNAcentral